AGCGCCAGGACUGAAAAGCGUUUUGUGUGUUUUUUUAUAAUUCGCCUUUCAGUUGACGAGGAUGGGGAGUUAUCGAAUCAUUCGGCGGGUGCCCCACGGUAUUCACACUACCGUAAACGGUCGGCAAAAAUGCGGAGUAAUCCGCGUCACAAAUCCGA
RNAcentral lists this non-coding RNA (158 nucleotides) under human gut metagenome. RNAcentral's name for it is "glmS glucosamine-6-phosphate activated ribozyme". It matches the Rfam family "glmS glucosamine-6-phosphate activated ribozyme aptamer", at positions 12 to 154 of the family's 167-position model. From Rfam's summary of the family: This entry contains a glucosamine-6-phosphate activated ribozyme that is found in the mRNA for GlmS. GlmS is an enzyme that uses fructose-6-phosphate and glutamine to generate glucosamine-6-phosphate. The record is from RNAcentral.